RNAcentral lists this ribosomal RNA (254 nucleotides) under uncultured bacterium. RNAcentral's name for it is "partial 16S ribosomal RNA". It matches the Rfam family "Bacterial small subunit ribosomal RNA", at positions 524 to 776 of the family's 1533-position model. The record is from RNAcentral.
CACGUAGGGGGCGAGCGUUGUCCGGAUUUAUUGGGCGUAAAGAGCUCGUAGGCGGUUCGGCAAGUCGGGUGUGAAAUUUCGAGGCUCAACCUCGAAACGCCACUCGAUGCUGCUGUGACUGGAGUCCGGUAGAGGAGUGCGGAAUUCCUGGUGUAGCGGUGAAAUGCGCAGAUAUCAGGAGGAACACCGAUGGCGAAGGCAGCUCACUGGGACGGUACUGACGCUGAGGCGCGGAAGCGUGGGGAGCAAACAGG